ACUGCACUGCGUCCGCCCUCUUUGUUUCUGUCUCAGUCUCUCUGUCUCCCUUCGUUCUCUUUCUCUCCCCCUGCUACCCCCCCCCACAGUUACACACACACACACACACACACACACACACACACACACACACACGCAGUGUGAAAGAUGCGAGCCAUAGCAUCUCGUAACAUGAAGGCCAUCCAGCUCCAUCCUCCCACUGCUGCUUGAACAAUAUGCUUAACACGUAGUGCCGCAGUCGCUGCUUGGAUUGAAUGUGUUCAUGCACAGAUUUUAUCAUCUUGUUACUCAAACGACUGAUGGCUUCUGACCCUGCCUGAAAAUUUCCUAAGAGGUAACAGUUCUAGGACACAGAUGCUGGAGGGAGUGGAGGAAGAAGUUUAAUUACCACAUACAGCUCUUCCAUAUGCAAGGUCUCUGGGGCAAAACUGUCAUUCUGUCUGAAGCCAGACCCUCAAUGUCAGACUAAGAGAGUCGGAUGGAGACUACAUCUUCUGUGUGUGUUGCAAUGGGAGGACUUCUCUCCACCGAGUUUAGUGAGGGCAACACUGUCUCACAUGUCUGAAUGCUGUGCUGCACUGUUGACUGUCACUGUUGGGGAUAUUGGAAGAUCACAAGAAACUCCUGAUCCUGAAUACUGGCCUGAGCCUCUUUUGGAAGAGGCCUUCCAGAACCCUACUCUUGCUAGAACUGAAUGCCAGAGCUGUGUAAUGGGGACAUCCUGUUGUGAACUUAUGUCCUUUCUGGACAAAUGUAUUCAAUUUGAGGCAGCAUGCCCAAUGGUUAGCCACUCAACCUCUGAACCCAAACCCCCAGCUCUACUGCUUAAUAGCUAUAUAACCUUGAGAAAAUUCAUUAAUAUUCCUGUACUUCAAUUUUAUCAUGUAUAAAAUAAGGAUAAUAAUUUUACAUGUCUUAUGGGGUUGUUAUGAUGAUUAAAUGGGUUAACAUUUCUAAAAAAUACUUGAACAGUGCCUGAUACAUUGUAAAUGCAUAUAUAUGUGUUUUUAAAAAUAGACAAUUAUAUACCAUUAAAUGUUAACCUGGCUUUGAUGCAGCUAGUUGAUCAAAUAAUCUAAAUCUUUGUAAUUGGAUAGUAAUAGAAAAGAAGGAAGAGAAAGAGAAUAUGCAUGUUUACAAAAGCAAAAGCCUAGGCUUUGGAUGUGGUGAGGACAGACAUCUCUGAGAUGUCCUUAAUUUUAUCCACUUCCAUUGAAUGUUAUUUGCGUUCACCUCUUGUGCAAAAUAAGAACCAAAAGGGAGUCUUCCUUAUUAU
RNAcentral lists this long non-coding RNA (1276 nucleotides) under Homo sapiens (human). RNAcentral describes it as "non-protein coding lnc-UPRT-6:2". The record is from RNAcentral. Lineage: Eukaryota; Metazoa; Chordata; Mammalia; Primates; Hominidae.